UACGGAGGGUGCAAGCGUUAAUCGGAAUUACUGGGCGUAAAGCGUGCGUAGGCGGCUUGUUAAGUCAGAUGUGAAGGCCCCGGGCUCAACCUGGGAACUGCAUUUGAAACUGGCAGGCUAGAGUUUGGGAGAGGGGAGUGGAAUUUCAGGUGUAGCGGUGAAAUGCGUAGAGAUCUGAAGGAACACCAGUGGCGAAGGCGACUCCCUGGCCCAAAACUGACGCUGAGGUACGAAAGCGUGGGUAGCAAACAGG
This 253-nucleotide ribosomal RNA is filed under the name uncultured bacterium. RNAcentral's name for it is "partial 16S ribosomal RNA". It matches the Rfam family "Bacterial small subunit ribosomal RNA", at positions 524 to 776 of the family's 1533-position model. The record is from RNAcentral.